GACGAACGCUGGCGGCGUGCUUAACACAUGCAAGUCGAACGGAAAGGCCCUGCUUUCGUGGGGUGCCCGAGUGGCGAACGGGUGAGUAACACGUGAGUAACCUGCCCUGGACUUUGGGAUAACUUCAGGAAACUGGGGCUACUACCGGAGAGGAGCUCCUGCUGCUUGGUGGGGGUUGGACAGUUUAGGCGGGGGGGGCUGGACGCGGGGCUUAUCAGCUUGUUGGUGGGGUAGUGGCCUACCAAGGCUUCGGAGGGUAGCCGGCCUGAGAGGGGGGACGGCGACAUUGGGACUGAGGGACGGCCCAGACUCCUACAGGGGGCAGCAGUGGGGAAUAUUGCACAGUGGGCGGAAGCCUGAUGCGGCAGCGCCGCGUGCGGGAUGAAGGCCUUCGGGUUGUGAACCGCAUUCGCCUGUGACGAAGCGGGAGUGACGGUAAUGGGUGAAGAAGCACCGGCUAACUACGUG
This 468-nucleotide ribosomal RNA is filed under the name uncultured bacterium. Its description in RNAcentral is "partial 16S ribosomal RNA". It matches the Rfam family "Bacterial small subunit ribosomal RNA", at positions 28 to 507 of the family's 1533-position model. The record is from RNAcentral.